Molecule: ribosomal RNA, 1372 nt
Filed under: uncultured bacterium
Lineage: Bacteria
Description: bacterial SSU rRNA
Rfam family: Bacterial small subunit ribosomal RNA
Source: RNAcentral
GAUGAACGCUGGCGGCGUGCCUAAUACAUGCAAGUCGAGCGAACGGACGAGAAGCUUGCUUUUCUGAUGUUAGCGGCGGACGGGUGAGUAACACGUGGAUAACCUACCUAUAAGACUGGGAUAACUUCGGGAAACCGGAGCUAAUACCGGAUAAUAUUUUGAACCGCAUGGUUCAAAAGUGAAAGACGGUCUUGCUGUCACUUAUAGAUGGAUCCGCGCUGCAUUAGCUAGUUGGUAAGGUAACGGCUUACCAAGGCAACGAUGCAUAGCCGACCUGAGAGGGUGAUCGGCCACACUGGAACUGAGACACGGUCCAGACUCCUACGGGAGGCAGCAGUAGGGAAUCUUCCGCAAUGGGCGAAAGCCUGACGGAGCAACGCCGCGUGAGUGAUGAAGGUCUUCGGAUCGUAAAACUCUGUUAUUAGGGAAGAACAUAUGUGUAAGUAACUGUGCACAUCUUGACGGUACCUAAUCAGAAAGCCACGGCUAACUACGUGCCAGCAGCCGCGGUAAUACGUAGGUGGCAAGCGUUAUCCGGAAUUAUUGGGCGUAAAGCGCGCGUAGGCGGUUUUUUAAGUCUGAUGUGAAAGCCCACGGCUCAACCGUGGAGGGUCAUUGGAAACUGGAAAACUUGAGUGCAGAAGAGGAAAGUGGAAUUCCAUGUGUAGCGGUGAAAUGCGCAGAGAUAUGGAGGAACACCAGUGGCGAAGGCGACUUUCUGGUCUGUAACUGACGCUGAUGUGCGAAAGCGUGGGGAUCAAACAGGAUUAGAUACCCUGGUAGUCCACGCCGUAAACGAUGAGUGCUAAGUGUUAGGGGGUUUCCGCCCCUUAGUGCUGCAGCUAACGCAUUAAGCACCCCGCCUGGGGAGUACGACCGCAAGGUUGAAACUCAAAGGAAUUGACGGGGACCCGCACAAGCGGUGGAGCAUGUGGUUUAAUUCGAAGCAACGCGAAGAACCUUACCAAAUCUUGACAUCCUUUGACAACUCUAGAGAUAGAGCCUUCCCCUUCGGGGGACAAAGUGACAGGUGGUGCAUGGUUGUCGUCAGCUCGUGUCGUGAGAUGUUGGGUUAAGUCCCGCAACGAGCGCAACCCUUAAGCUUAGUUGCCAUCAUUAAGUUGGGCACUCUAAGUUGACUGCCGGUGACAAACCGGAGGAAGGUGGGGAUGACGUCAAAUCAUCAUGCCCCUUAUGAUUUGGGCUACACACGUGCUACAAUGGACAAUACAAAGGGCAGCGAAACCGCGAGGUCAAGCAAAUCCCAUAAAGUUGUUCUCAGUUCGGAUUGUAGUCUGCAACUCGACUACAUGAAGCUGGAAUCGCUAGUAAUCGUAGAUCAGCAUGCUACGGUGAAUACGUUCCCGGGUCU